UACGUAGGGUGCAAGCGUUGUCCGGAAUUAUUGGGCGUAAAGAGCUCGUAGGCGGUCUGUCACGUCGGCUGUGAAAUCCCGAGGCUCAACCUCGGGUCUGCAGUCGAUACGGGCAAACUAGAGUAUUGCAGGGGAGACUGGAAUUCCUGGUGUAGCGGUGAAAUGCGCAGAUAUCAGGAGGAACACCGGUGGCGAAGGCGGGUCUCUGGGCAAUAACUGACGCUGAGGAGCGAAAGCGUGGGGAGCGAACAGG
This 253-nucleotide ribosomal RNA is filed under the name uncultured bacterium. Its description in RNAcentral is "partial 16S ribosomal RNA". It matches the Rfam family "Bacterial small subunit ribosomal RNA", at positions 524 to 776 of the family's 1533-position model. The record is from RNAcentral.